RNAcentral lists this ribosomal RNA (193 nucleotides) under uncultured bacterium. RNAcentral's name for it is "partial 16S ribosomal RNA". It matches the Rfam family "Bacterial small subunit ribosomal RNA", at positions 1306 to 1500 of the family's 1533-position model. The record is from RNAcentral.
UGAAACUCGCCUGUAUGAAGAUGGAGUUGCUAGUAAUCGCGAAUCAGAAUGUCGCGGUGAAUACGUUCCCGGGUCUUGUACACACCGCCCGUCACACCAUGGGAGCCGGUAAUACCCGAAGUCAGUAGUCCAACCUCGUGAGGACGCUGCCGAAGGUGGAUUGGCGACUGGGGUGAAGUCGUAACAAGGUAUC